UGCUGUGCCAUUUAUUGAACCCUGUGAUGUGCCGGACGCAGUGUUGUCUUUUUUUCAGCGCGAUAGAUGGAUGACAGUACUAUAUGGUUCCUGGUGUUUAUGUGCCCAGCAUAGCAGCUUCUGGAGAAAGCCACCCCAUGGGAUCGCUGUGCUGCCUGCCCUCAUGUCAACCUCGCCGCCACGCCAUCAGGGAGGCAUGAGGCAGAAGCCAAUGUGACACGAGAAAGACGCAAGCAGCCACUGCUGGCUCUGCGGACGGAAGAAGGGGCCACGAGUCAAGGAAUGUGAGCGGCUGGAAAAGGCAAGGAAACGGAUUCCUCCCGGGGCCUCCAGAAGGAACGCAGCCCUGCUGCUCACCGAUCGAAGCCCUCUGAUGGCC
Non-coding RNA from Manis javanica (Malayan pangolin), 379 nucleotides. NCBI's taxonomy places the organism in Eukaryota, Metazoa, Chordata, Mammalia, Pholidota, Manidae. The record is from RefSeq and is a predicted model, not a curated record.